GGGGCUAUAGCUCAGGUGGAUAGAGCAGGAGUUUCCUAAACUCAAGGUCGCAGGUUCGAGUCCUGCUAGCCCCGCCA
Molecule: transfer RNA, 77 nt
Filed under: bacterium
Lineage: Bacteria
Also listed under: 1 other name
Description: tRNA-Arg
Rfam family: tRNA
About the family: Transfer RNA (tRNA) molecules are approximately 80 nucleotides in length. Their secondary structure includes four short double-helical elements and three loops (D, anti-codon, and T loops).
Source: RNAcentral